RNAcentral lists this ribosomal RNA (375 nucleotides) under Triticum aestivum (bread wheat). RNAcentral's name for it is "partial small subunit ribosomal RNA". The record is from RNAcentral. Lineage: Eukaryota; Viridiplantae; Streptophyta; Magnoliopsida; Poales; Poaceae.
AUGAAGGAGCUCCAGGUGAAGGUUAAAGAGGUCAACGAGCGAAACUUGCGGUACCACCUACUCAACGGCGCCUCUGGCUCCAAUCCUACCUCUGCCGCCACUGAGCUGUCCAGCGAUGCCACUACGAUGAUGUUUGGCAUGAGGCUCAAGAUGACAGCUCUGCUCGAACUCAUCAACAACAAGGAUGAUGACCUCAGCGUGAUCUCGGUGUGGGGAACAGGCAGUGAUAUCGGGCUGACUUCCUUUGUGAGAGCAUCCUACGAGAAUUCGGGUCUCAAAAUGAAGUUCCCAUGCCGAGCUUGGGUCAGGGUGAUGCAUCCAUUCAGUCCAACGGAGUUUACUGAAGCAGUUCCGCGCUGCCGUCUUGGGUGUUGA